GACGAACGCUGGCGGCGUGCUUAACACAUGCAAGUCGAACGGAAAGGCCCUUCGGGGUACUCGAGUGGCGAACGGGUGAGUAACACGUGGGUGAUCUGCCCUGCACUUUGGGAUAAGCCUGGGAAACUGGGUCUAAUACCGAAUAGGACCACGCGCUUCAUGGUGUGUGGUGGCAAGCUUUUGCGGUGUGGGAUGGGCCCGCGGCCUAUCAGCUUGUUGGUGGGGUAAUGGCCUACCAAGGCGACGACGGGUAGCCGGCCUGAGAGGGUGACCGGCCACACUGGGACUGAGAUACGGCCCAGACUCCUACGGGAGGCAGCAGUGGGGAAUAUUGCACAAUGGGCGCAAGCCUGAUGCAGCGACGCCGCGUGGGGGAUGACGGCCUUCGGGUUGUAAACCUCUUUCAAUAGGGACGAAGCGCAAGUGACGGUACCUAUAGAAGAAGCACCGGCCAACUACGUG
Molecule: ribosomal RNA, 462 nt
Filed under: uncultured bacterium
Lineage: Bacteria
Description: partial 16S ribosomal RNA
Rfam family: Bacterial small subunit ribosomal RNA
Source: RNAcentral